Molecule: long non-coding RNA, 2068 nt
Organism: Crotalus tigris (Tiger rattlesnake)
Lineage: Eukaryota; Metazoa; Chordata; Lepidosauria; Squamata; Viperidae
Exons: 2
Source: RefSeq, a predicted model, not a curated record
UUUUUUUUUUUUUUCGGGGAGGGGGGGUGCUGCAAGUCUGCCGGGUCUGCAAAGGGUCUCUUUCCGGAUGCUAUUGCUCUCCCCCCUUUCCCCCCCCCCAGCCUAAGCUCGGCUUGGCACCUGCGAGGAGGAAGAGGAGGAGAGAAAGUCUGCUGCAGUCUUGGGUUUCAGGAGCAUGGUGGGAAAUGAAAUGGAGGCCAAGUCUGCUUGAAGCAUCUCCAAUCAACAGAAAUGUAAGCCAGAGCAACCUGCUGGAUGGUCUCCCUUAGUUUGGUCCCAAUUAGUCAGGAGGAACUCUUCCCAAUUUCAUAAUAAGCCUUACCUGGUGUGACCUGGAAUCAGAAACCAGAGUGUACACCUAGACAGAGUCCAACUUCCCCUGAAGGAAUUUUGGGAGUUGAAGUCCACCCAUUUUAAAGUUGUCAAGGUUGAGAAACACUGUUCUAACCAUAAAUCGCUAGAAAGCUUUCAAACAUUCAGCCAGAUUCUACUUUAAGGCAAUUUUUCUACUUCUGGAUCAUCUUCUAGGUGACAUCCCUUCAGAUUUUUGGAGAGUGCUAUCUUAUUCCCACUUCUUUUGAAGAAUGAACCUGCUCAGCUCCCUCACAGCAGUUACUUUCUAACCUGGUGACCACCCUGACUAAUGAUUUUUGUAACCAGCUGCAAUUUCUCUCAAAUGUUCUAAGGACAGUUUGAUCAAUUGAUCUUGGAAUUUUUUCCAGGCCAAAUGUAUGCCUCAGCCUUGGGUUAAAACUUUUUCACAUUUGGGACAUCGAUAUCCCACCUAUGACCACACUUGGAAUACUGCAUUUAGUUCUGGUCACCACGAUACAAAAAAAGAUGUUGGGACCCUAGAAAGAGUGCAAAGAAGAGCAACAAAGAUGACAAGAGGUCUAGAAGCUAAACUUUAUAAUGAACGAUUGAUGGAACUAGAGAAGAGAAGGACAAGGAGUGAUAUGAUAGCAGUUUUCCAGUACUUGAGGGGCCAUCACAGAAAACAGGGUCAACCUAUUCUCCAAAGACUUGAGGGCAGAAGAAGAAGUGACGGAUGGAAGAUCUUUAGAAGAGAGCCAACCUAGAAUUGAGGAGAAAUUUCCUGACGGAACAAUUAAUCAGUGGAAUGGCUUGCCUCCAGAAGUUGUGGAUGCUAAAAUUUCUCAAGAAAAGAUUGGACAGCCAUUUGUCCAGAAUGGCUUAAAGUCUCCUGCUUGAGCAGGGAGUUGAAGUAGAAGACCUCCACGUAGAUGCUUGUCUUUCCUUCCUGAAACUCAACUACUUCAUUCACACUUACACAUAUACAUGUACUCUGUCAAGUCCUUGAAAUGUUUCACUAACUCAAAAGAAAAGCAUAUUCUCAUCUGCUGCUUGAUGAUUUUGUGCAUCAUAAAUCCAGCCGAUAGAAAUGAUCCAAACGACAAGAAGAGAAUGCCUUAAAUCAGUGUCGUUAAAUAAAUGUGUCAAGUGAAUAGCAAUCCCUAGUUUAGUAAUUCAAGCCAUGGAGAUGGCCAAAAGAUGGUUGCCUUUUCUGCAAUGAAAUUCCUUCAGAUUUCAUAAAAAGUUGAUUCCAUCACCUUUCUGGAUGAUGCUAAAACUAUUUUGGAAUCCUUCCCACCUCACUGCUGAAGCAAAGAAUGUAAAAACAACAUCAGAUGACUACUUUGCUUGAAAAGUUGGGCUCUUCUAAAGUUCCAAUGAGUUCUCCUCCAGUUUUUUGGAUUCCAUCAAUAUAACUGGGACUGUAUUUAACGUAUAAAUAUUUCUAUUAAUAGUAAUAGUAGUAUCUGAACUAUAGAUUCCUAUGGAGACCACUUUGUGAAAAAAAGGAUUUUCAUAUACAAUCUACUCUUUGCACCUCAUAAUCAAGUUUGUGCAAAAGCACCCUAGAACACCCACAAGAAUUUUACUGAAAAGCUCUUCUCCUUUGAAAGAAUAUUCAAAAACAAAAUUUCUUUCUAGCGCUGAUGAUGUUACUUACUUGGACGAUAUGUUUGCAAGAAAACAACUAAGCUCAGAGAACACCAAGGAUCCCACAAAAUGUCUUAUAUUAAACUGAAAUAGUUAAGUAAAA